RNAcentral lists this ribosomal RNA (253 nucleotides) under uncultured bacterium. RNAcentral describes it as "partial 16S ribosomal RNA". It matches the Rfam family "Bacterial small subunit ribosomal RNA", at positions 524 to 776 of the family's 1533-position model. The record is from RNAcentral.
UACAGAGGUCUCAAGCGUUGUUCGGAUUCAUUGGGCGUAAAGGGUGCGUAGGUGGCAGGGUAAGUCAGGUGUGAAAUCUCGGGGCUCAACCCCGAAACUGCAUUUGAUACUGCCUUGCUCGAGUACUGGAGAGGAGAUUGGAAUUUACGGUGUAGCAGUGAAAUGCGUAGAUAUCGUAAGGAAGACCAGUGGCGAAGGCGAAUCUCUGGACAGUUACUGACACUGAGGCACGAAGGCCAGGGGAGCAAACGGG